UGAUUCCUCUGCCUUGGCCUCCCAAAGUGCUGGGAUUACAGGCAUGAGCCACCACACCCAGGUACUUGUUAAGCCUGAGAAUAGAAUUGCUGGCCCUCCUUCUAUGUAAGCUCCCAGUCUGUCUGCAGAGGCCAGCCUUAAGGUUACUGUUUCUGCUGCUCAGAUGGCCCCAAGCAGGGGGACUCCAGGUGUGAUAUUGGGUACAUUGGUCAUCCCUCUGCCUCCCACCUGGAUGGAAACAGUCUGAGAGCCCUCUCUGUGGCUUGGUUUUAGGCAGGACCUUAGGACUUGUGGGUGAAUUGAUGGGGGAGAUACACACUUACCUAUGUCCUCUUUCCCAGCAUGGGACUUGAAUGCUGCUAUUGGUGCACAUUUCUGCAGACGUGUCUCUGGCUGUCAGGAUGCAGAAUGUUGGUAGGUCCAGUGUGGGGGCUGCCAAAGGCGGUGUCAUGUGCUCUGUGGAUUUUUGUGUGAUUAUAAUGGUCCCAUUUGAAGUUUUCCUGUUUGUUGCAGUAAAACCUCUCUUCAGUGUCUGUUACCUUUCUCUAUAUUCUUGGUGAAGGAGAGAGAUAGUAAUAAGGGGCCUAAAUGAGGUAAGAAGAGCAGAUGCUGUUCUCUGCUUCCUCCCUGCCACCAACAUUCCUUCUGCCCUGUUUUUCCUGGCCAGCUGUGCUCUGGGCAGUCCAAGCCUGUGAACCAGCCACACCCAGGAUCUGUGGUGGAGCUCAGUCCCAGACUGUUCUGGAAGAGUCGCCCAGAGGAGCCGUGUGGUCUCCCAUUCAGCAACAGAGUACGGGAUGGUCUCUCUGAAGGGCAGAGGGUCUGAGCACUGUCCCCUUCAUGGCAUCUAAGGCUGAAAUGCUGAAUGAUGCAAUGAGAGGAUUCUAGGGGAGAAAAGGAGCUGUACAUGGGCUUGAUUCUUCCCUCCCCAGCUGGUGGACACAGCACCAGAGGUGGAGCUGGAGGGCCCUCCACUGACCCACAUGCACUCCACUUUGCAGCUGUGCCCUGGGACACACUUAUAAUCUCAAAGUGUUAUGAAUUCCAACCACUGGAUUCUACCCUACUUCUGACAUAAUCUUCUUGGGUUGAUAGUAGCCUGUCUCAUUACCGAGUAUUUCUUCUUAUGGGUAGCCCUGGUUAGUCAUUUUCUUUUAACUUUUUGUUUAAAGAAGACCUGUAGAUAUGAGCUUUUUGUCAGAGAUGAUCUCUGCAGGCCUGAGUCUAAACUGUUAACCCUCUCUCAGAGAAUGAGUGCUGGCUCUUGAAUUUCAGGCGCUUUGACAUUUACUGAGGGAAAGAAGGAGAAUGGAAGGAGUGAGCAUAAAGCGCUGACCUGAGUGGAAUGGCGGGUCGACUUGCCAGAGCCCCGAGAUGAUUAUACUCUCCCAGCUCUAGGACAAGCUGUCCAAUUUCCCAAAAACCAAUUUGACAAUUGUCGAGUGACCAAUUUGCUGAAUUAGAAGAAUUUACUAAUUUACCAAAUUGCUUAUUUCUUUUAUGCAUUUCUAAAGACUUGAGCAAUUGGCAUGGGCUGGGUUGGCAGGGCCUGAAAGGGUUUGGAGCAAUGAGUCAGAAGCAAUGGUCUCUGGGAACAACCCUGUAGGUGGCGCCACUCUCUGGACUGAGAGGGGCACUGGGUGGAUGGUGGAGAGUUAGGGGAGGCUUUGCUGCAGAGAUCCGAGCCUUGCUGACUCUUCAGUUCUUGUUUUUAAAGCAAUCCUUAUUUUUGACCACCUUUUUUCCUUAAAAGUCAGUCAGCUCACCACUUUUGGAUUCUUCCUUGACUUCCUGGCCGUACAUACUUCCCAUCCUCACGCUGCCUCACUUGUUUGGCUCUUCAUCUCUCUCCUUCUCCUCCUUCACCCUGGAGCAACACCGGAGGCCUCUCAUGUCCUCCCGUGGAGAAGUGGGAGAACAGCACAGCCCUUGCCUUACUAUUUUGUUCUUACGACCCUCAGACCUUCAGGGGCUCACUUUCUCCCACAGCACUGUAGCCAAAGAAAGGUUUCUUUCCUAAGAGGGAUUAUGGUAUCAGCUCUUCAAAUACCAUUAAAUUUUUAUUUUCUACACAUAAACACAUUCUUAUGGUUUUGGAAAAUGGAAGCAGUAUAAAACCAAAAUUUUUUGCAAACUCAGUGUGAUAGCCUUCAUAUAUUAGGCAUUCAAUGAAUAUUUUAGUGAUUAACAAAUGGGUGGUUUUUAAUAAUGAACCUCACCCUGUUAUAACCAAAUACUCGUGUCAGAGAAACUAGCUUGCUUUUAUAUCAAGAUUAUGGCCCUGGAUUUUGAUAAUGCCACAGAAAUAUUGUCAAAUGUUGUUCACUCGGCUCUGCUCUUUCCAAGUUGAGGUGAGCUAAGGGAGCCAACCAAAGUAAGGUUGGUUUCCUGCUCCUUUUCCCCCCCACUUAACCCUUUGCUUAAAAAGCUCUCCGAGGCCAUAAACUACUAGGACACAACUCCCUAUUAAUUAGCCAUUUAUAACUAUGUUUCUGUUGAUUUUUUGGACCAAUCAUUAAUUUGAUAGGGUUAUAGGAAGUCCUAUGCUCCUGUAACUGAGAAGACACUGUCUAAGUGUGGGUCCAGAUUGAGGAGGUCCUUUGGGGUCUGUUGCUUCUAUCAUUGGCCUGACCCACGCUGUCUCUCAAAUUCAGACCUCUCAGAAAAAGGAAGAAAGGCUUCAUCCGCAGUGGGCAUUAAAAAAAAUCAUAAACAUCUAUUCAUGGUCUUGGAAUUGAAUCUUAAGGCAAAGCAGGAUCUCAGACAGCUGCUCCAAAAGAGUCAGAUGCUGAGAUCCAUUGUCCACCCUGGCUCCUGCUCUGAAUUGACAUCAGUUUGCAACUAGCAGUUUCAUAAAUCAAGAAAAAGAAGAAAGGUAAAUUAAUGACUGUGUUAACUAGAGGGGCUCUGAAUUUCUGCUUUACAUGUACUCAUUUUGAAUUUCACUUUUAUUAUAAUGAACUUGCAAACACAGCAUUGCAAUAGUAUAUGCACCUCCCAAAGAUGCUGGGAAAUAGCUGAUAUUUCAUCAUUUGAGGACAGUUUGUGCCUGCAAGUGGCAGAGGUGCAGGAGGAGACAAAUAAAAGGGAUGCCUACAUCCUAUUUCCAUGAAUUUCUGUCCUCUGAGCUGAAAGACAAUUUACAAGUUGGCUGAUAAGACCUUGAAGAAAGAAGAUAUUUUAAAACUUUAAUUGAAAAUCCCCAUUCCUUCUCAUUGAAGAAGCAAAAGAAGAAACUAUAAUGAUGGACACUCUGGUGCUAGUAUCAGUCAUUUUGAUCACAAGACGUGGACCAGCCCACCUUGGAGCUCACUGUGGUGGUGGCCUGGUCCUAAUGCAAGUCCUAAUGGAGCUCUUGGAACUGGCUGUAGCCUUUGCUGAGCAGGAGCAACUAUGUCUCUGGUUCUUAAGGAUUGAAAAGUGUCUGUGGCCAUCUGAAAACGUCCACAUGAUGCCAGACCAUGCUUUACUCUGAAAAUCCACCGAUAAGGUACGUUGAAGAUGGAGAACAACUGAUGUCAAGACACAUUUUGGUUGUAAGGGACAGAAGUCCAACUCCAACGAGCUUGCCAAGGAUGGAACCUGCUGGCAAACAUAACCAAACUUUGGGAAGGGCAGGGUAUGGUUAACCUCAGGUUUCUGGAAGCAGAGUGUACAGUGCUGUGCCGUCCCUCUUCUCUCUGCUUCUCUCUGCGUAUUGGCCCUAUCCUCUCAGUGGGGCACCCUCCCUGAGCAGCGAACAGCAGCCACAGGAAGCUCCAGUGUCAAUGCCUCCCACAGCUUUCCAGAGAAGCAGCAGCCUCUUUGUUAGCUCCGUAUCAAAGACAUCCACAGGCAGGGCUUUGUGUGACCCAGUUUGGGUCACGUCUUUAUUUGGGGCCCGGAGGAAAUGGAUACAAUGACUACAGCCCAUCAUAGAACCUCAUGUUUAGAGGACCAAAUUUCCUCUCUCCAAAAGUGAAAUGUUGUCACUGUCCAUUCAACUGAUGAAAAUCUUCCUUUUCAACAGAAAAACUAUCAUGAUGUUGUCUGUUGGGCUUCAGUUUCUUACAGCAGUCAUCUUAAGAAUUAAACUGGUAUGGAUAAUCUGACUAUGAACUCCUUGAGGGCAGGGACCAUAUUAUAUAAUACUUCUGUGUCCUCUGCUAUUUCUUAGCAGAAUUUUGAAAAUGUGCCAAGUGUUGACUUGGUUCGAUCACUUGUGAGAAUGGAGGGACCCAUAAUGUUAAUAAUCAAUGAAGGUUGUUGGAGUUACUUACCCAAAACCUUAUGAACUUAGCCUUCCCUAGCAGAUUUAGUUUCGUAAUUUGUCCGGUAUAAGCAAACACUAAAGAGGGAUUGGGGAAAGUUGUGAGUUGAGUAGUUGGGAAAAAGGUAGUUUGCAGUUUUAUUUACGUCUCACAGCUUGACAUUUUUUGUUUGCCUUGGAGGGGGUACUUUUAAAAAUUCCUCUUUUGAAAACAAUAAAAUCUUAGAUUUUGGAUAACAGAUAUUUCUGUACUAUAUACCUCACUUAAGAUUUUCAAAGUAAUGUUUAAAAGUGCCUUUUAUAUUUUUUCAUACCACAUUGUAGGGAAGGCCAGGGUCAUUUUUUAACACUUAACUAUGCUCAAUACCUCCUCACCACUAUAAAGUAAGGUCGAAUGUUGGUUAAAGCAAAGCUGUCUGGAAUCACCCUGUCAAAAGUACUGAUUUAUAACCUUGCUACUCACAUUUCUUACUGUGGUGCCCUCCCUCUUGUUGGCUCCUGCAUCUUUGAAGUACAGGGAAAAUGAACUAAUAUGGCAGCUCCAAUAUGCAGCUAAUCCUGCCAAUGAUGUCUCCCCUGGAAGUGUUUGAGAGAAGAAUUUCUUUUCCCAGUAUGGAUUUAUGUAAACAUUUGUUCCAUUCACGAGUAGCACAUUAAUGCCUAAUUCUGGAAAAAAUACAAAGAAAAAACCUUU
This 4943-nucleotide long non-coding RNA is filed under the name Homo sapiens (human). RNAcentral describes it as "HSALNT0327676". The record is from RNAcentral. Lineage: Eukaryota; Metazoa; Chordata; Mammalia; Primates; Hominidae.